RNAcentral lists this ribosomal RNA (279 nucleotides) under uncultured bacterium. RNAcentral describes it as "partial 16S ribosomal RNA". It matches the Rfam family "Bacterial small subunit ribosomal RNA", at positions 1063 to 1342 of the family's 1533-position model. The record is from RNAcentral.
UGUCGUUAGAUGUUGGGUUAAGUCCCGCAACGAGCGCAACCCUCGUUCCAUGUUGCCAGCACUUAGGGUGGGGACUCAUGGCAUACUGCCGGGGUCAACUCGGAGGAAGGUGGGGACGACGUCAAAUCAUCAUGCCCCUUAUGUCUUGGGCGUCACGCAUGCUACAAUGGCCGGUACAAAGGGUUGCGAUACUGUGAGGUGGAGCUAAUCCCAAAAAGCCGGUCUCAGUUCGGAUUGGGGUCUGCAACUCGACCCCAUGAAGUCGGAGUCGCUAGUAAU